RNAcentral lists this long non-coding RNA (1152 nucleotides) under Anas platyrhynchos platyrhynchos (common mallard). Its description in RNAcentral is "lncRNA (ENSAPLG00000016476.1)". The record is from RNAcentral. Lineage: Eukaryota; Metazoa; Chordata; Aves; Anseriformes; Anatidae.
UUUACAUGUUCAUGUAAGUAUUUAACAUCAGGAUUGAACAGGAGUGUGCUGUUACCACCAACUUUAAUGCUGAGCAUUUUUAAGCAGAGGUUUAUUGCAGGGAUAUAGUAUAUUGUGGUUUUACUCAGAGACAGCAUUUAACUAAUGAGGUCAAUUGUCUCUGUUAAUAGAGGAUGCGUUAAGGUAAAGAGAAUAGCUAAGUAAGCACCAAAAAAUCUUGGAUUUCUCCAGAUAACAAGUGGAUGAAUUGUAAAAUGAGGACCAUGUUAAGAACAGGGUUCAACUUCUCUGUCCUGCCCUCAGCACCUAAGUAGCAGAAUAUAGGAUCAGCUGAAUGGCAAGCUGAAUGGAGAAUUUCCUCAUUACUGUAUUGCCAGUGCAGACUAGACAGUCCGAGGGAGAUGCUCGAAAACCUCCAAAAUUAAUUCUGGGAGUUAUGGUCGAGAAGUUGGGGCUAAAGAAAGUUGGAUUUGCUGAGCCUUCUGUAAGGUAUUCACUUUAUUGAAGAUGGUUUUGCAGCUUGCAAAAUGCUUGUAACAGACUUGUGGGAUACAGAAGUCAUGUUUUCAAGCUUGUGAAUGCUGGAUUACUCCUCUCUACAGACAGGGGAGUUCAAGUAGCCUCAUGAGCUCUGAUGGCUGGUACUCAUCUGUGGUUUAUCCUCAGUACAGAGACAAUUUGCUUGGACAAAUACCAAUGAGAAAGCAUCAGCCUUUGCAUCCAGCAGCUGUCCACAGUUCCUCUCUGUUUCAGUGAUCACAAGUUAAAAGAAAAAUUCAUCUUCAUGUCAAGCUUUUUCUUCACUCUAGAAGGUUGUAAAAAGUAGAAUGAUACUUCCAUGGGUGUGCAGCAGAAUUGCUAAACUAUGACUUAAGAGAGGUGAGGAAAAAGAGAAAAUUAUAAAGAAAUGACCUAGAGCUAUAAAAGAAUGAGCUCCAAGCACAGACUGAUACAUUAAAACCCUGUUAGGAAUAGGUCUGCACUGGCAUCCCACACCUUGUCCUGCUCCGGGGACAAGUGGCACUGCCUCUCUGUCUGGGAAAGCUGCUGGCAAUGUCUGCUCAUUGGGCACUGGGCCACCAGCAUAUCUGGGAGCAUUUUGAUCUAUAGACCAAUUUUAUUAAGAUAAUGGUGUAAGUAUACAUGAAAAAC